UACGUAGGGUGCAAGCGUUAAUCGGAAUUACUGGGCGUAAAGCGUGCGCAGGCGGUGAUGUAAGACAGAUGUGAAAGCCCCGGGCUCAACCUGGGAAUGGCAAUGGAUACUGGACAGCUAGAGUGCGGUAGAGGGUAGUGGAAUUCCCGGUGUAGCAGUGAAAUGCGUAGAGAUCGGGAGGAACACCAGUGGCGAAGGCGGCUACCUGGACCAGCACUGACACUGAAGCACGAAAGCGUGGGGAGCAAACAGG
RNAcentral lists this ribosomal RNA (253 nucleotides) under uncultured bacterium. RNAcentral describes it as "partial 16S ribosomal RNA". It matches the Rfam family "Bacterial small subunit ribosomal RNA", at positions 524 to 776 of the family's 1533-position model. The record is from RNAcentral.